UACGAAGGGGGCUAGCGUUGCUCGGAAUUACUGGGCGUAAAGCGCACGUAGGCGGAUUGUUAAGUCGGGGGUGAAAUCCUGGAGCUCAACUCCAGAACUGCCUUCGAUACUGGCGAUCUCGAGUUCGGGAGAGGUGAGUGGAACUGCGAGUGUAGAGGUGAAAUUCGUAGAUAUUCGCAAGAACACCAGUGGCGAAGGCGACUUCCUGGCCUGUUCUUGACGCUGAGGCGCGAAAGCUAGGGGAGCAAACGGG
RNAcentral lists this ribosomal RNA (253 nucleotides) under uncultured bacterium. RNAcentral's name for it is "partial 16S ribosomal RNA". It matches the Rfam family "Bacterial small subunit ribosomal RNA", at positions 524 to 776 of the family's 1533-position model. The record is from RNAcentral.